GCCCACAUUUAUACCGAUCUUGUCUGAUACUAGAAGGUAAAUAGGGUUGGGCCUGGCUGCUACUUAGAUGGGAGAACACAAGAGAAUAACUUCUCCAGGUAAGGUUGGGA
RNAcentral lists this ribosomal RNA (110 nucleotides) under Pogona vitticeps (central bearded dragon). Lineage: Eukaryota; Metazoa; Chordata; Lepidosauria; Squamata; Agamidae. The record is from RNAcentral.